Doryrhamphus excisus (bluestripe pipefish) is the source of this 3405-nucleotide non-coding RNA. The record is from RefSeq and is a predicted model, not a curated record. Lineage: Eukaryota; Metazoa; Chordata; Actinopteri; Syngnathiformes; Syngnathidae.
UUAACCUUUAAUUUGUGUUUCGGGGAGGUCAGGAACUUACAAACUUCCAAGAUUUUGCCUUUCACGCGUCCCAAAAGAUGGUCGCGGGUAAGCUGCAGCCUAUUCCAGCUGUCUUCCGGUGAGAGGCGGGGUACCGCCCCUAGACUGGCCGCCAGCCAAUCGCAGGGCACAUAUAUCCAGGUCAUCGCAGGCCAGGAUUUUCAGUGGGCUAGCAGCAAUCAGAGCUUUGGCGUCAUCUACUCGUGUGCCUGCAACGACCAACGAAGAAGAGUGACGGAAGCAUUUCAUGAUACGCCGACGCCGUUACGGAAGGUUCAAUGUUGGGAGACCAGCAGGAAGUAUCUUUUCUACCUUGUAGACGCACAACAAUGGGGAUCUUGAGGUCGAGGUCUUGUACAGCCAUGAUGAUGCCCUGAGCGAUGACGUCGCACCUCAUGAUGCCUCCGAAGAUGUUGACUAGAAUGGCCUGAACCUGAGACAAACGAGAAAAUUUCAUGAUCGGAAUGGAGGGUCGUCGGGUACCGGGAUCAAAACUGAAACUGUUCAAAUUCAAACAAUGCCCAGCAUAGCUAUAACGCCCGGGGCUUGUUCCAAUCGCCGCAGCUUUUGAAAGGUUUGAGACAACGCGAGGCCUCAAGCAGUCUGUGAUUUCAUCAUGGACAUGGGGCCAAAUGACAGACCAAGACAGUGGCUUCUGUUGGGUAGUACAGUCCUUGAAGCCACGGUUCGUACUAUUUUCUUGUUGAUAAAUAGUAAAUAAAUACAUACAAUAAAUAAUACAAAUACAACUUUAUGAUGUUUUACCUCCAGGAGUUAAAUCGAAAUGUUGUAAAAACGUAUCGAUCCUGCUGCUUCACACAGUUCUUCUUACCUUCCUGUCGGAGGUGAUGAGCUUGAAGGCCUCCGUCACCUGAUGCGCUGUGGCCCCGCCCCCUACGUCUAGGAAGUUGGCAGGCGUCCCGCCGUGCAGCUUGAUGAUGUCCAUGGUAGCCAUCGCCAGUCCGGCUCCGUUGACUGCACGACACGUAAGAACCUUAUCUCACAAUAUUCGAAAGUUCUUAGAAGUCCUUAGAAGCUACUAACUAACCCAGGCAGCCAAUAGUUCCAUCCAGGCCGAUGUAGUUCAGGUCAGCCAAGGCCGCCUGCCGGUCUCGGGGGUCCUCCUGGGUCCAGUCCUGCAAGUCGAACACCUUCUUCUGGCGGUAGGCCGCAUUGGAAUCAAAGUUGAUCUUUGCGUCCAUGCACAUCACUGUUGAUGACACACAAGAACGGCAACCUUGUUAGCGGCGGUCCUGCUCCGUGUAGCUCAGAUUGGUCGCUAAGAGACUUGUACCAAUGCCAGAGGAGUCCUCCACCAUGGGGUUGAUCUCCAGCAUGGAGGCGUCGUACUUGAUGAACACAUUGUACAGUUUGACCAUGUUCUCCGCCGCUUCCUUCUGCAGCGCCGGCGGGAAGCCCAUCUUCUGCGCGACCUUCAGCAAGAGCAAAGGGCAACAGCUUGACCCUGGAACACGUUCUCUUCCAAUGCACACAAAUGCUAAGCGCACCGGCAUCGCAGACUGAGCGAGAAUAAAUGACUUCUGGGGUGUUUGAACAAAGCAGCCAGGGUACGUUCCCGCGUGUGAAUGCUAUUGAUCGCAACAAUAGAGGCGCAUCAAUGGAGAAAAGCCGUCUAUCGGACUCUUCUUACAAUCAGCAUCUCUUGUGCUGACAGACGUAUUGAGCGUGUGCUCUCACUAUGACAACAUCUACUCAAUAUGCAGGCCAAGGUCUACUGCAACACAAACCAACAUGGUUUACAGGCACAGCGUGACAGUGGGAGAAUGUGAAUGAAAGCAAGGGUCGGUCUGCAGGCGUAAGUUGAAAUAUAAUUUGUACGGCGCCGUGGGAAGCGGCUUUCCAUGCGAGCAUUAAAUCCCAAUCGUUUGGGUACACAGAAGGACAAACACACACACAAUUCCUCCCUUGAUCUGCCGCCUCUUUUUCGAUCUCGGGGGGGCCCCCGGCCCACGCAGUGAGAGCAUCUCCAGUUGUUUUUGUGACUGCCGUUCAUCUGUUAUUGAUCCCCACCUUGAGUGCCUGCUCCAUCUUAAUGCCCUCCACAAUGUCGAUGGGCUCCUUCACAAUGGCGUCUGGGUUUUCCGCCGCCACAUCUUCGAUGUUGACGCCCCCCUGCGAGCUUCCAAUCAACACGGGGCCCUGUGGCACAAAUGAGCAUUAAUGCAACAAAAACAAAUAAAUGCUCAUUGAAAUAUGAAGAUCAAUAUGUGCAGCCCACCAGGAUGUAUGUUAAUCGGGUCUUCAUUCACAUUUGCACGGGUGGAAAUCUUUUGGAGCUGAAUUUCAGUGCGCAUAUCAGUGAGGGUUACAUUGUGUUGUGCUGCCAUCUGGUGGUGGUCGGGAGAACUGACAACUUGACAGUAUUGGCCACCUCUAAAGUGUGUUUUCAUUCAUUCAUUUUCUGCCGCUUUUUCCUCACAAGGGUCGCUGGGGGUGCUGGAGCCUAUCCCGGCUGUCUUUGGGCGAGAGGCGGGGUACACCCCGCACUGGUGGCCAGCCAAUCACAGGGCACAUAUAGACAAACAACCAUUCACACUCACAUUCAUACCUAUGGACAAUUUGCAGUCGCCAAUUAACCUAGCAUGUUUUUGGAAUGUGGGAGGAAACCGGAGUACCCGGAGAAAGCUCACACAUGCACGGGGAGAACACGCAAACUCCACACAGAGAUGGCCGAGGGUGGAAUUGAACCCUGUGAGGUCUGCGCGCUAACCACUCCGCCCAAGUGUGUUUUCAUUAUUCAAAAAAAGUAAAAACGAUCGAUGUCGUGAGGUCUCUAAAGAUGGCAAAAGCUUGGUCGCCCGGCGCCAUCAUCUCCAUGAUUUGAAGUGUUGGAUUUGACAGUAUGACAUAAUACCACAUAAUUAUCAUGCACAGCUAUGAAAUACUGUAAAGUCCAAGCUCUACACGCCAGUCCCUGCUAAUGCUAAGUCAAGGUUCACUUGGUCUCUGGUUCAGGCCAUGCGAGGUGUAACAUCAUCUGGGCAUUUUUAGCGGUUAUCAGAGCUCCUGGUAUCGGUAUCUCAAUAUUACUCAUAUUUGAGCACCCCUAAGUAUAACAAAACCGAAGACCAGAUGGCAUCAGUUAGGUCUUGGCCGAUAAACAACAUUGCAGUAUCGGGCAUGAAAAAGUGUAUCAUGACAUCUCCAUCUUCAGUUUGAGGUUGCUGAAGGUCUGAGUGUUCUUCACCUGGAAGGAUCUCUCCAUGGUGAUGGCGAAGUAGUACUCCCUGCGCGGGUACCUGCGCUCGCAGAUGAACACCUGGUUGCAGAUGCGGCCCGCCUCCCCCGUUUGCUUGGUGUACAGCUUCCGGCCAAUCAUCUGCGACGAAAUAUCUCGCGCCUCCU